AAAAAAAAAAAAAAAAAAAAAAGCCGACGUCAGGAGCGUGCUUCGUAAAGUGCAACUGAAAAGUCACUUCUGAAAACCUUAGAGCAUGAGAGGGUGACGACGGCAGCUUGAGCGUAUGUAUGUGGGAGGGGGGACUAAAAACCUGUCAUCUUUGCGCCUGUGUGUGGAAAACGGGGGUGGGGGGUGGGGUUUCGUCUUCAUGGAGCUGCUGACUAAUCACAUGUGAAGGUUUCUGAGCAGCUAGCUUUGCAGAUGAACCUGAGAUGAUAUUAGCAGUCCCUUUUGCCAUCGAGUGAACUUUUGUCUUCGCACUUUGCUCGUCCCCAUGCCUGGCUCCACGCGCUGGACUCUGCAGAAGAAGGGCAGGCCCAUUUAUUGCCAGACCAGUGGAAAGUCAUGACCACUUGGCUGUCGUGCGGUGGCAGGUAAUUAAAUAGAUGCAAACUUCUGUAUAGCAGCGACAGAGGAAAGACCAAAAUACCGGCAAUGCCUUGUUAUGCUCUCUUUGGGGACCCACAAGGACAAAGGGACGUUCUCACCCAGAGAAGGAAAUUUGGAAUUUAAGGAAGGCUGCAUUUCCUCCUAGGAAGCGCUUAGGGGCUUCAAUGGACCCUGACCAUUCGGGAGACUUACUGGAGUGACCAAAUAAGCACUGACAGCCCGCUGCCCAAUGUCAUACUGUGACAGCUAAUGUUUCAUCAAGCAAACAGCGUGGGAGCGCUUUAGGCUGUGUUCUCGCGACCUGAAAACAUCCACCGUGGUUGGCUUGAUAGCCUGUCUUUCGCACACAUGAUAAAUGUUAUCUCAGCUUUGCGUGACCACAACAGGGGAGGGCAAAGAAGUAAUGCUUUUCCAAAACAGAAGUCUGUUUCACACGCACACCCCCUACCCCCCAUCAGAGCGCUCCCUUUGCCCGCAGCGGAAGUUAAUGUUAUCAUGUCAGACAUUUGAUAUGAACACAAUGAUUUCAAAAUGUAGAGAUACCGCUGAUGCACUUGGGGGCGAUUGCCAGCAGGGCAAACAAGUGACUCAUCAGAGGAGGAAAAUCGUCCGCUCGAAAACCGACUGUGGUACCCACGUGAGGAUCUGGCUUGCUAGGCUCCAGUGCCGCCUUCUGACAAACGGAGGGACUCCCUCGGCCAAGAGGUAGGUGUUUAGAAACCACCCAUCUGAACGCUGCUUUCACGAUUUUGAUACCUGAGAAGACCUCUCGCCCCUCUUUUCUAAAACCUAAUAAGGACAAUAUACAGAGAACUCUUCUGGAAACCAAGGCCUGUGUCUAAUGGGGAGAAGCAAGUAGGCCCUUUGACAAUCCUUUCAAAACAAGACCUAGAAAGAAACCUUUUUUUUUUUUUUUCCAAGAUUCACAAAGCAGCGUUUUUGUGAAUGAACAAACGCAUCUUGUCAGCCCGUGCCAGCAGAAAUGUUAAGGAGCAAAACCAAAGUUUGAUUUUUGUAAGCAGGGUAUACUAUCGCCGCGGCCCACGUGGCACACACACAGGCAGCCAGGGUUCUUCUGCUCCCUGAGCCGUGGAGAUGAGAAGGGUGGGCUGCCCCACACAUGCGAGCACUCGGGGGAGCUCGCCUUUCUCAUCCUGAGGGCCCCACCUUUUUCAGAAGGGUUCACAGAAUUGCCCAAGGGCCCGGUCAGCGACUCUUGGCCAGUGGACAGUUAUCUGGGCCUGGACGUGUUGGAAGAACGCAGGUGGAAAAGGACUUGUCAGCAGCAUGAAGCCCUCUCUAUCUGCUGUCUAAAGCCCUUCAGUGAAGAGCCCAGUGUCACGGGGCGACUGUCGAACUGCGUGGACAUCUGGGGGGUUGACAUAAGUUGUGAGUAUCCCAGCCACGACGCCGUGGGAUGGUUUUCAGUUGUGUGGGUAUGAAGUCGCUGGGUUUGGAAUUUGUCACUGAAAUCAGGCAAGUCACAGUAUGACUGCGUGGUAGGGUCACCUCCUAGGCUUUUUCUUUCUUACAUCCAACACAUCUGGUAUGUCUUACUUAGGACGUUGUACUAUGUCCAUUAAAAUGAUUCCAUAAGGCAAGCCACCCAGAUGCAUUUACUAGCUGAAAAGCACUUUUUUAAAUAGACAAGGAUGAAUUUAAUAUGGGCCGAUGUGACCGUCUGGGGAAUCUUUUUAUAGCGAGCUUACAUUACUGUAUGUGGGGAAAUUUUUGUCUUCUACUCCCAUUCAACAAUAGCAAACGUGGUUUUAUAAGAUGAACAUUAUCGUGUUAGCUGCCUGUGAAAAAAUAAAGACUUGGCGUUAUCAGCA
This 2273-nucleotide long non-coding RNA is filed under the name Sus scrofa (pig). RNAcentral describes it as "lncRNA (ENSSSCG00015057752.1)". Lineage: Eukaryota; Metazoa; Chordata; Mammalia; Artiodactyla; Suidae. The record is from RNAcentral.